UACGUAGGGUGCGGGCGUUAAUCGGAAUUACUGGGCGUAAAGCGUGCGCAGGCGGUUCGUUGUGUCCGAUGUGAAAGCCCCGAGCUCAACUUGGGAACUGCAUUGGAAACUGGCGGGCUGGAGUGUGGCAGAGGGGGGUGGAAUUCCACGUGUAGCAGUGAAAUGCGUAGAGAUGUGGAGGAACACCGAUGGCGAAGGCAGCCCCCUGGGCCAACACUGACGCUCAGGCACGAAAGCGUGGGGAGCAAACAGG
RNAcentral lists this ribosomal RNA (253 nucleotides) under uncultured bacterium. Its description in RNAcentral is "partial 16S ribosomal RNA". It matches the Rfam family "Bacterial small subunit ribosomal RNA", at positions 524 to 776 of the family's 1533-position model. The record is from RNAcentral.